UACGUAGGAGACAAGCGUUAUCCGGAAUUACUGGGCGUAAAGCGCGCGCAGGCGGCAGCUUAAGUCUGACGUGAAAUCUCCUGGCUUAACUGGGAGAGGUCGUUGGAAACUGGGCAGCUUGAGGUGGUGCGAGGGGUGCAGAAUUCCCGGUGUAGUGGUGGAAUGCGUAGAUAUCGGGAGGAAUACCAGUGGCGACAGCGGCGCCCUGGCACUGACCUGUCGCUCAUGUGCGAAAGCGCGGGGAGCAAACGGG
Molecule: ribosomal RNA, 253 nt
Filed under: uncultured bacterium
Lineage: Bacteria
Description: partial 16S ribosomal RNA
Rfam family: Bacterial small subunit ribosomal RNA
Source: RNAcentral